This 341-nucleotide ribosomal RNA is filed under the name uncultured bacterium. RNAcentral's name for it is "bacterial SSU rRNA". It matches the Rfam family "Bacterial small subunit ribosomal RNA", at positions 173 to 507 of the family's 1533-position model. The record is from RNAcentral.
AUGGCAUCACGAGACGGCAUUCGUUUUGUGUAAUUAAAGCUGAGGUGCUUAGAGAUGAGUGUGCGUCUGAUUAGCUUAGGUUGGUGCGGUAACGGCGCACCAAGGCGACGAUCAGUAGGGGGCGUGAGAGCGUGGACCCCCACACGGGUACUGAGACACGGACCCGACUCCUACGGGAGGCAGCAGUAAGGAAUAUUGGUCAAUGGAGGAAACUCUGAACCAGCCAUCCCGCGUGCAGGAAGAAUGCCCUAUGGGUUGUAAACUGCUUUUAUCUGGGAAGAAAAGUCGGCAUUUAUGCUGAUCUGACGGUACCAGAGGAAUAAGCACCGGCUAACUCCGUG